Molecule: transfer RNA, 68 nt
Filed under: Sauromalus australis
Lineage: Eukaryota; Metazoa; Chordata; Lepidosauria; Squamata; Iguanidae
Description: tRNA-Met
Source: RNAcentral
GUAAAGUCAGCUAACCCAAGCUAUCGGGCCCAUACCCCGAAAAUGUUGGUUUAAAUCCUUCCUCUACU